RNAcentral lists this ribosomal RNA (807 nucleotides) under uncultured organism. RNAcentral describes it as "bacterial SSU rRNA". It matches the Rfam family "Bacterial small subunit ribosomal RNA", at positions 101 to 888 of the family's 1533-position model. The record is from RNAcentral.
AACGGGUGAGUACACGUGAACACUUACCCUUCAGUGGGGGACUAGGCAGGNAAACCUGUGCUAAUACCGCAUAUGUCAUAGCGACGAUGUCGCAUUGAUGANAGGUGGGGACCUUCGGGCCCAUCGCUGGAGGAUUGGNUCGCGCCCCAUUAGCUUGUUGGUGAGGUAACGGCUCACCAAUGCGACGAUGGGUAGCCGGCCUGAGAGGGUGACCGGCCACACUGGGAUUGAGAUACGGNCCAGACUCCUUCGGGAGGCAGCAGUCGAGAAUCUUCGCGAUUUAGCGCAAGCUAGAGCGAGUGACGCCGCGUGUGGGAAGAAUGCCUUAUGGGUUGUAAACCACUGUCAGGAGGGAAGAAUAGCGGGUAGUCUAAUAGGCUGCCCGUGUGACGUUACCUCCAGAGGAAGCUCCGGCUAACUCCGUGCCAGCAGCCGCGGUAGUACGGGGGGAGCAAGCGUUGUCCGGAAUCAUUGGGCGUAAAGGGCACGUAGGCGGACUGGUAAGUCGGAUGUGAAAUCCCACGGCUCAACUGUGGAACUGCGUUCGAAACUGCCUGUCUUGAGUACGCGAGAGGUAUGCGGAAUUCCUGGUGUAGCGGUGGAAUGCGUAGAUAUCAGGAAGAGCACCGGUGGCGAAGGCGGAAUACUGGCGCGAUACUGACGCUGAGGUGCGAAAGCGUGGGGAGCAAACGGGAUUAGAUACCCCGGUUGUCCACGCCGUAAACGAUGGGCACUGGGUAUUGGAGGUCUCAACCCCUUCAGAGCCGUAGUUAACGCGUUAAGUUGCCCGGCUGGGGAAUACGGUCG